AAGGUGCAAAGUCCUGGAAAAGGAAGAGCCAUGAGGGACUUCUUUUAGCUCAUCAACCAAGAUCCACAAUUCUGUGUAGCAUAAUUUGGUCAGAGAUGUGUUGUCUCGGGCAGACUAUUGUCAUCCUCUACCGACACUGUUGGAAGCUACUGAUAUGGACUACAAAGAAUCCAGGAGUCCUGAAACCAAGUCAUUUGGAAUUCCACAGAGCAGCCUAGAGCCCCUAAAAGCGAUCAUCCAGUACAGACUGCCAAUGAAGAAGAACAACAACUUGUACUCUUGGGAUGAUUUCAUGGAACUUGGCAGAAGCAUCCCUGACACCCAACUGGAGCAGGUCAUCGAGAGCCAGAAGGCGAAUCAAUGCGCAGUGCUCAUCUACACUUCAGGGACCACAGGCAUACCCAAGGGAGUGAUGCUCAGUCAUGACAACAUCACGUGGAUUGCAGGAGCAGUGACAAAGGACUUUCAACUGACAGACAAGCAUGAGACGGUGGUUAGCUACCUCCCACUCAGCCACAUUGCAGCACAGAUGAUGGACAUCUGGGUACCCAUAAAGAUUGGGGCGCUCAC
This 570-nucleotide small RNA is filed under the name Pan troglodytes (chimpanzee). RNAcentral describes it as "processed transcript". The record is from RNAcentral. Lineage: Eukaryota; Metazoa; Chordata; Mammalia; Primates; Hominidae.